Anas platyrhynchos (mallard) is the source of this 854-nucleotide non-coding RNA. The record is from the annotation of a RefSeq genome assembly. Lineage: Eukaryota; Metazoa; Chordata; Aves; Anseriformes; Anatidae.
GGCCUCUGGGCUGGGAGCUUCACGCCCUGAUGUACGGCUGCAGCUGCUCUCACUCUCAACCCCUUCUCAGCAGCUCUGCCUCAAGUUGCCACAUGCCACGCUCCUUGGACUUACCAGUCUUUCUGAAAAGCUGAUGGGAUGACAACAUCCUCACCAACGUGAGCAUUCCCAGGUCUAAGUCCUUCCCCAGGUUGUAGUGGGUUCUCUGCAAACGUAGCCCCACACGGUUGCGCCCACAUGAGCCAUCGCUGGAGACGUCUGCUCCUCCCACUCAACCCUGUCCCCAUCUGGGGCCUCUUUCCCUCUCCUCUGAGUCUCAGCUGAGCGGGACCAGCAAACAUGCUGCUGCUGGCAGCACUUGUGGCCACCGCUGCUUGGUAUGAUGUAUUUGCACAGGAAAUUCCCAUACAGACCCCUAUAUCCAUCACUAAGUUCAAGAAAACUGCACGGAUGUAUUGUGAAAUCAAAAACUUACCAACAAGUUUUGAUAGUACUGUCAUACACUGGUAUAAGCGGAAGGAGAAUGAAGCUCCAGAGAGGCUACUGUUCUUUGCAGAAGGGAGUACUUCUGUGGAAAAUGGCUUUCAAAAAGACAGGUACAGAGCUGAAAGGGUUUCUGACCAGAAUCGGUGUGUCCUCAUGAUAAAGGAUGUCAUUCCAGACGAUGCUGGCAUGUACUACUGCGCCUACUGGGACCCUCACAAUGGUAGAAUCUCAUAGACCAUCAAGGCACAAAACUCCCCCAACAUCUGAACCACAGGUUUGUAACUUCCUCACUCCCCCAGUCUUCUCACUCCAUCUGGUAUCAGCUGCAGAAAGGCCAAACCCUUGUCUGCCUCCCAGAAUGAGCAGCU